Molecule: ribosomal RNA, 253 nt
Filed under: uncultured bacterium
Lineage: Bacteria
Description: partial 16S ribosomal RNA
Rfam family: Bacterial small subunit ribosomal RNA
Source: RNAcentral
UACGAACUGUGCAAGCGUUGUUCGGAUUCACUGGGCUUAAAGGGUGCGUAGGCGGCUUGCCAAGUAGGGUGUGAAAGCCCCCGGCUUAACCGGGGAAUUGCGCCCUAAACUGGCGAGCUGGAGUGAGAUAGGGGUGUGUGGAACUUCCGGUGGAGCGGUGAAAUGUGUUGAUAUCGGAAGGAACGCCGGUGGCGAAAGCGACACACUGGGUUGCAACUGACGCUGAGGCACGAAAGCCAGGGGAGCGAACGGG